AUUGAACGUUGGCGGCAGGCUUAACACAUGCAAGUCGAGCGGGGUGAUGGUGCUUGCACUAUCACUUAGCGGCGGACGGGUGAGUAAUGCUUAGGAAUCUGCCUAUUAGUGGGGGACAACAUCUCGAAAGGGAUGCCAAUACCGCAUACGUCCUACGGGAGAAAGCAGGGGAUCACUUGUGACCUUGCGCUAAUAGAUGAGCCUAAGUCGGAUUAGCUAGUUGGUGGGGUAAAGGCCUACCAAGGCGACGAUCUGUAGCGGGUCUGAGAGGAUGAUCCGCCACACUGGGACUGAGACACGGCCCAGACUCCUACGGGAGGCAGCAGUGGGGAAUAUUGGACAAUGGGGGGAACCCUGAUCCAGCCAUGCCGCGUGUGUGAAGAAGGCCUUAUGGUUGUAAAGCACUUUAAGCGAGGAGGAGGCUCUUUUGGUUAAUACCCAGAAUGAGUGGACGUUACUCGCAGAAUAAGCACCGGCUAACUCUGUGCCAGCCGCCGCCGUAA
RNAcentral lists this ribosomal RNA (503 nucleotides) under uncultured bacterium. RNAcentral describes it as "partial 16S ribosomal RNA". It matches the Rfam family "Bacterial small subunit ribosomal RNA", at positions 30 to 523 of the family's 1533-position model. The record is from RNAcentral.